RNAcentral lists this ribosomal RNA (305 nucleotides) under uncultured bacterium. RNAcentral describes it as "bacterial SSU rRNA". It matches the Rfam family "Bacterial small subunit ribosomal RNA", at positions 333 to 636 of the family's 1533-position model. The record is from RNAcentral.
CCUGUCCUACGGGAGGCAGCAGUGAGGAAUAUUGGUCAAUGGUCGGGAGACUGAACCAGCCAAGCCGCGUGAGGGAGGAAGGUACAGAGUAUCGUAAACCUCUUUUGUCAGGGAACAAAGACUGGGACGCGUCCCCGGAUGAGUGUACCUGAAGAAAAAGCAUCGGCUAACUCCGUGCCAGCAGCCGCGGUAAUACGGAGGAUGCGAGCGUUAUCCGGAUUUAUUGGGUUUAAAGGGUGCGCAGGCGGUCUGUUAAGUCAGCGGUCAAAGCCCGGGGCUCAACCCCGGCCCGCCGUUGAAACUGG